Molecule: long non-coding RNA, 521 nt
Organism: Dreissena polymorpha
Lineage: Eukaryota; Metazoa; Mollusca; Bivalvia; Myida; Dreissenidae
Exons: 3
Source: RefSeq, a predicted model, not a curated record
AAUUGAUCAUGAUGAUAGUUCCGUCUUCAUUGUGCCAUCGUUUAGUGUGAAGAAAUGUUUUGAGACAUUCCAAAGUUGAAGCAAUUCUCUGAAUCGCCAUGAAUACGCCGAUCUGUAUGACACUGUGUCUGCAUGUACUCGCCGUGUUGGGACAACCUGCGAUUGGACAACUUGCGACGGGACAACCUGCAACGGGACAACCUGCGACGGAACAACUUUCGAUGAAACAACUUGAGUCCUAUUAUGACGAGCUGGCUGACAGUAAGGGCAAAAUCGUCGAAACAGUUCCUCUGUUGCGUUCACUGCUCUACUGAGAAGCUUCGUAGAGGAUAUUGGCGUAGGCCAGAAAAUAAUCUUCUAAAAUGUGGUCCUAAACAAAGGCGGUGCGUAUAAUCCAUUGACCGGAGUCUUUACAGCGCCCAUCACUGGCCUCUUUCUGUUUGUGGCAACGUUGUUAAACAGGCCCGCAGAAAAAGCAAUGCACGCAGUACUUUUGCACUCCGGUAGAAAUGUCGCCAUUC